This 465-nucleotide ribosomal RNA is filed under the name uncultured bacterium. Its description in RNAcentral is "partial 16S ribosomal RNA". It matches the Rfam family "Bacterial small subunit ribosomal RNA", at positions 338 to 795 of the family's 1533-position model. The record is from RNAcentral.
CCUACGGGGGGCAGCAGUGGGGAAUAUUGCGCAAUGGGCGAAAGCCUGACGCAGCGACGCCGCGUGAGGGAUGAAGGUCUUCGGAUCGUAAACCUCUGUCAGCAGGGAAGUACGGUCACUGUGCUAAUCAGCAGUGAAUUGACGGUACCUGCAAAGGAAGCACCGGCUAACUCCGUGCCAGCAGCCGCGGUAAUACGGAGGGUGCGAGCGUUAAUCGGAAUUACUGGGCGUAAAGCGCUCGUAGGCGGUAUGUCAAGUCAAGGGUGAAAGCCCCGGGCUCAACGUGGGAACUGCCUUUGAAACUGGCAAACUGGAGUGUGUGAGAGGAUAGUGGAAUUCCAGGUGUAGGAGUGAAAUCCGUAGAUAUCUGGAGGAACAUCAGUGGCGAAGGCGACUAUCUGGCACAUAACUGACGCUGAGGAGCGAAAGCGUGGGUAGCAAACAGGAUUAGAUACCCCAGUAGUC